Astatotilapia calliptera (eastern happy) is the source of this 1497-nucleotide long non-coding RNA. The record is from Ensembl. Lineage: Eukaryota; Metazoa; Chordata; Actinopteri; Cichliformes; Cichlidae.
ACUGACUCUCUUUCGAUGUCUGUGUGUGCCGGUUAAUAAGUCCAGAUCAAAGAAGAGUUCAGAGAAGCUGAUCUUCGACAGCAGCCGGGGGAAGGACAAAACGAAGUAAAUGUUUCUCAAGACAAUCCCUGAGAUCCCUGAGAAGAGCAGGAAAGCAGAUAUUUACGUCAGUCUUCUGAGGCAAAGAUACGCCCUUUCUUUAACCAACAUGGUUUCCACAUAAAAGUUGACUGCUGGACACAGAGUCAGACUCACUGUGCUGGCAGGAGGAAUGAGGCGCCCAAGAUUUGGUCCUUCCAGGCAUCGGCUCCAAGCAGGAGGGCGAGCCAGCCCAGCCUAUCGAAACAACGGGAAAGUGUUCAGACUCACAGACCCUCGCAUCCCCAACACCUGAGCAGGGUGUCAGGUGCAUGAAAGCAAAUAUGAAAAACAAAAACUAUUUAGACCGAUGUUCAUGUGUGAGUGUUUUCUAUGCAGCCAGCAGAGUUUGAGACUUGGGUCUGUGACACAGGAGCCUUCAGUGAUUCACUUUUCAAAAGGUAAAGGUUCUCAAAGUGAACUGUUUUCUUCAGGAUUCAAGAUUCUUUACUUUUGUGUCAGUUUGUUUUAAUAAAAACAUUCAUCUACGCUCACCGGCUUUUUUAAGUUUUAGUAAAAUGAUCAAGGAUGUUGUUGUUGCACUUUGUGUGCGUUUGUCUAGAUCUCUCAUUCAUUCAUCACUUAAAUUAAAUUUGAUUGGAUAGAAGUGAGCUGGGGCUCUAAAGGUCAAGAUGUGCCUGAGAUGAUUACACUAUAUACAGUACAGCUUGGAAAGCAUUCACAGUGUUGAAUACUUACAUGCUACAUGUUUUUUUAAAUACAUUUUUAAGAUUUUCAGUCAAAUUUUUUUCUGUUUGUCAUUAUGGUCUAUUAUAUGAAGGUUUUGAAUAAGGCUGUACAAACUGCAGAACAAGUGAAGUGCUGUGAACACUUUCCACAUGCACUCUACAUUAUAAAUAAUAAUAAAAAAUAAAUGUCAUAAAAGUGAAUGAGUAAGACAUUAUCCCACAAGCAAAACAUACACAUACACAACAAAAUAUACACUAAAGUUUUGACUAUAACGAAACAUCACUUCAGACCUUUUUUCUUUGAGAAAAUGUGUAUUACAUUUCCUCAAAGAAAAAAAAAACUCUCCAUAAGAGAUUUAGAGUUGUGAAACUUGGACUAGUUCAGUCAAAAAUAAUUGGAGUUAUUAAUUUUUAAUUUAUGUGGAUUUGUGAACUUUUAUUUGAAUUUCUGUGUGUUUGGAUCACUGUGUUGUUCAUUUUAUUUGUUUAUCUUUGUUCCUUCCUUUUUUGUUGAUUUGUUUAUGUUGAAAAAAAAACCCAACAACAACACAGAACUGAAAAGGUUUCAAGCUGUAGCUCAGAAAUAAUUCUCAUAAAAUCGGGCUGCCAUCAGUUUACAAUAAAAGUGAAAGAAUUACUCAAACUGCAGCGUGGAUCUUGUGAAGGCCAG